GCCUGGGUGGCUCAGUCGGUUGAGCGUCUGACUUCGGCUCAGGUCAUGAUCUCACGGUUCAUGGGUUCAAGCCCCACAUCGGGCU
Molecule: transfer RNA, 85 nt
Filed under: Felis catus (domestic cat)
Lineage: Eukaryota; Metazoa; Chordata; Mammalia; Carnivora; Felidae
Rfam family: tRNA
About the family: Transfer RNA (tRNA) molecules are approximately 80 nucleotides in length. Their secondary structure includes four short double-helical elements and three loops (D, anti-codon, and T loops).
Source: Rfam by way of RNAcentral